Molecule: ribosomal RNA, 246 nt
Filed under: uncultured bacterium
Lineage: Bacteria
Description: partial 16S ribosomal RNA
Rfam family: Bacterial small subunit ribosomal RNA
Source: RNAcentral
GAUCAUGGCUCAGGACGAACGCUGGCGGCGUGCUUAACACAUGCAAGUCGAACGAGAGGACAAGAGAAGCUUGCUUCUUUUGGAAUCGAGUGGCAAACGGGUGAGUAACACGUAAACAACCUGCCUUCAGGAUGGGGACAACAGACGGAAACGACUGCUAAUACCGAAUACGCUUGGUAUACCGCAUGAUCUACCAAGGAAAGGGUGGCCUCUACCUGUAAGCUAUCGCCUGAAGAGGGGUUUGCG